AAAUUGAAGAGUUUGAUCAUGGCUCAGAUUGAACGCUGGCGGCAGGCCUAACACAUGCAAGUCGAACGGUAGCACAGAGAGCUUGCUCUCGGGUGACGAGUGGCGGACGGGUGAGUAAUGUCUGGGAAACUGCCUGAUGGAGGGGGAUAACUACUGGAAACGGUGGCUAAUACCGCAUAACGUCGCAAGACCAAAGAGGGGGACCUUCGGGCCUCUUGCCAUCAGAUGUGCCCAGAUGGGAUUAGCUGGUUGGUGAGGUAACGGCUCACCAAGGCGACGAUCCCUAGCUGGUCUGAGAGGAUGACCAGCCACACUGGAACUGAGACACGGUCCAGACUCCUACGGGAGGCAGCAGUGGGGAAUAUUGCACAAUGGGCGCAAGCCUGAUGCAGCCAU
Molecule: ribosomal RNA, 396 nt
Filed under: Salmonella enterica
Lineage: Bacteria; Pseudomonadati; Pseudomonadota; Gammaproteobacteria; Enterobacterales; Enterobacteriaceae
Description: bacterial SSU rRNA
Rfam family: Bacterial small subunit ribosomal RNA
Source: RNAcentral